CCCUUAGAUGUCCUGGGCCGCACGCGCGUUACACUGAUGCAUUCAACGAGCUUAUAACCUUGGCCGAGAGGCCUGGGCAAUCUUGUUAACGUGCAUCGUGAUGGGGAUAGAUUAUUGAAAUUAUUAAUCUUGAACGAGGAAUUCCUAGUAAACGCAGAUCAUCAAUCUGCAUUGAUUACGUCCCUGCCCUUUGUACACACCGCCCGUCGCUCCUACCGAUUGAAUGCUCAGGUGAGCCAUUCGGACUUUCAUCAUGCUGGUUUCCAGUUUUGAUGAAGGAAAGUCUUGCGAACCUUAUCAUUUAGAGGAAGGAGAAGUCGUAACA
RNAcentral lists this ribosomal RNA (325 nucleotides) under uncultured eukaryote. RNAcentral describes it as "partial 18S ribosomal RNA". It matches the Rfam family "Eukaryotic small subunit ribosomal RNA", at positions 1470 to 1796 of the family's 1831-position model. The record is from RNAcentral.